CGAAGGGGGCUAGCGUUGCUCGGAAUUACUGGGCGUAAAGGGAGCGUAGGCGGAUAGUUUAGUCAGAGGUGAAAGCCCAGGGCUCAACCUUGGAAUUGCCUUUGAUACUGGCUAUCUUGAGUACGGAAGAGGUAUGUGGAACUCCGAGUGUAGAGGUGAAAUUCGUAGAUAUUCGGAAGAACACCAGUGGCGAAGGCGACAUACUGGUCCGUUACUGACGCUGAGGCUCGAAAGCGUGGGGAGCAAACAGGAUUAGAUACCCUGGUAGUCCACGCUGUAAACGAUGAGUGCUAGUUGUCGGCAGGCAUGCCUGUCGGUGACGCAGCUAACGCAUUAAGCACUCCGCCUGGGGAGUACGGUCGCAAGAUUA
This 370-nucleotide ribosomal RNA is filed under the name uncultured organism. Its description in RNAcentral is "bacterial SSU rRNA". It matches the Rfam family "Bacterial small subunit ribosomal RNA", at positions 526 to 896 of the family's 1533-position model. The record is from RNAcentral.